RNAcentral lists this ribosomal RNA (120 nucleotides) under uncultured bacterium. RNAcentral describes it as "partial 16S ribosomal RNA". It matches the Rfam family "Bacterial small subunit ribosomal RNA", at positions 397 to 509 of the family's 1533-position model. The record is from RNAcentral.
CCGCGUGAGCGAAGAAGGUCUUCGGAUUGUAAAGCUCUGUUGCCGGGGAAAAAGGAAGGAAAGAGGAAAUGCUUUUCUUUGGAUGGUACCCGGCCAGAAAGUCACGGCUAACUACGUGCC